RNAcentral lists this ribosomal RNA (468 nucleotides) under uncultured bacterium. RNAcentral describes it as "partial 16S ribosomal RNA". It matches the Rfam family "Bacterial small subunit ribosomal RNA", at positions 28 to 507 of the family's 1533-position model. The record is from RNAcentral.
GACGAACGCUGGCGGCGUGCUUAACACAUGCCAGUCGAACGGAAAGGCCCUGCUUUUGUGGGGUGCUCGAGUGGCGAACGGGUGAGUAACACGUGAGUAACCUGCCCUUGACUUUGGGAUAACUUCAGGAAACUGGGGCUAAUACCGGAUAGGAGCUCCUGCUGCAUGGUGGGGGUUGGAAAGUUUCGGCGGUUGGGGAUGGACUCGCGGCUUAUCAGCUUGUUGGGGGGGUAGUGGCUUACCAAGGCUUUGACGGGUAGCCGGCCUGAGAGGGUGACCGGCCACAUUGGGACUGAGAUACGGCCCAGACUCCUACGGGAGGCAGCAGUGGGGAAUAUUGCACAAUGGGCGGACGCCUGAUGCAGCAACGCCGCGUGCGGGAUGACGGCCUUCGGGUUGUAAACCGCUUUCGCCUGUGACGAAGCGUGAGUGACGGUAAUGGGUAAAGAAGCACCGGCUAACUACGUG